This 102-nucleotide ribosomal RNA is filed under the name uncultured bacterium. Its description in RNAcentral is "partial 16S ribosomal RNA". It matches the Rfam family "Bacterial small subunit ribosomal RNA", at positions 254 to 354 of the family's 1533-position model. The record is from RNAcentral.
GGGGUAACGGCCCUACCAAAGCGACGAUCAGUAGCCGGCCUGAGAGGGUGGACGGCCACAUUGGGACUGAGACACGGCCCAAACUCCUACGGGAGGCAGCAG